This 76-nucleotide transfer RNA is filed under the name Deltaproteobacteria bacterium. RNAcentral's name for it is "tRNA-Gly". Lineage: Bacteria; Pseudomonadati; Myxococcota; Myxococcia. The record is from RNAcentral.
GCGGGUCUUAGUCAGCUUGGAGAGUACAAGCUUCCCAAGCUUGGUGUUGCGGGGUCGAAUCCCGGUGGCCGCCCCA